AGUGAACGCUGGCGGCGGGCCUAACACAUGCAAGUCGAACGGCAGCACAGUAAGAGCUUGCUCUUACGGGUGGCGAGUGGCGGACGGGUGAGGAAUACAUCGGAAUCUACUUUUUCGUGGGGGUUAACGUAGGGAAACUUACGCCCAUACCGCAUCCGACCUACGGGUGAAAGCAGGGGAACUUCGGACCUUGCGCGAUUGAAUGAGCCGAUGUCGAAUUAGCUAGUUGGCGGGGUAAAGGCCCACCAAGGCGCCGAUCCGUAGCUGGUCUGAGAGGCUGGUCGCCCACACUGGAAGGGGGACACGGUCAAUGCGCCUGCGGGAGGCAGCAGUGUGGAAUGUGGGACAGUGGUGGCGAGCAUGGUCCAGUCAGAGCGCGUGGGUUGAGAAGGCCCUGGGGGUGUAAAGCCGGUUUGUUGGGAGAGAAAAGCAGCAGGUUAAGACCCCGCUGUUCUGACGGUAACCAAAGAAUAAGCACCGGCUAACUUCGUG
RNAcentral lists this ribosomal RNA (492 nucleotides) under uncultured bacterium. RNAcentral's name for it is "partial 16S ribosomal RNA". It matches the Rfam family "Bacterial small subunit ribosomal RNA", at positions 30 to 507 of the family's 1533-position model. The record is from RNAcentral.